GCUCAGUGACUGGUCUCCCAGAUCCAGGGCUGGUGUUGGGCUCUCAGCUUCUCACCCUGCCCACAGAUUUGCUCCUGGAUGGCACUGGCAUGGGCUUCAAUAUCUUCAGUCCACAGCCCCUGACCAGGACUUUUCUGCUCCCUCCACCCAAGUUCACCACCCAUCAGUUCUGAGAGCUGUUGGUCAGAUCUGUUUCCUUUAGAACCAGAGAAAGUCUGCAAAGAUGAAUCAUUAACAGAAAUUGUGGAAAACAUGCGUAUUUGCCAGCAGUCAAAAGCCUGGGAAACUAUAUUUCUAAAGACACCUGAAGAAAGCACAAUGGCUGUUGUAGUUGUUUUUAACUGUACACACACCCAGCAGUACUGACUCCUCUAUUUGGAAAGACCAUCACUUUUCAUUAUGAAAAAGCUCUCAUUGCACACAUUUCUGUGUGGGGAAGGGUUGUUUAAUGUGAAAGACCUCUAAAAUAAUUUUACUUAAGAAUGUUCCUUGAAAGAUUAAGAAAGCAUAUUAACAUAUAGCUAUAAAAGGAUUAGUAUGUGGAGAUUUAAGUGCUCUUGUCUGGGCAGGCAAUACAGA
RNAcentral lists this long non-coding RNA (579 nucleotides) under Parus major (Great Tit). Its description in RNAcentral is "lncRNA (ENSPMJG00000019958.1)". The record is from RNAcentral. Lineage: Eukaryota; Metazoa; Chordata; Aves; Passeriformes; Paridae.